CUUGUGCUCCGCGUUUGAAGUGGAGGUUGAGGACAUCUCCCGUUUGUGAAAGGGGUUGCUCAGGUGGCUACCUCCCCUGUCUCUGGUUUCUCUGCUGCGUGUGGUGGUCGCAUUGAGUCGUGGUGCAAAAGCGAGGACUAGGCGUCCGUGACCUAAACCCGAUUGACGGUUGCGUUGGGGCGGAGCGCUCGUUCUCUACUUUCUGUGCUUCAGCGACAUCAUCUGCGGUGGUAUGUAAUUAAUGAUGAUGAUUCCACCGGUAUGUCUUAAAUCAUGUUACUUCUAGUAGUAAUUUGCUUCCACAUUCAUAGGUGCCUGACUCCUUGGUCAGUUGGAAUCCUCAGUCUACCAGCUGAUAGCUGUGCCGCUGUUUUGUCUCUGUCCAAUCCGUACGUCUGCUGCUAACUUUCGCUGCCCACAGCUUUGGGCCAGUGCCCUCU
Molecule: long non-coding RNA, 440 nt
Organism: Engraulis encrasicolus (European anchovy)
Lineage: Eukaryota; Metazoa; Chordata; Actinopteri; Clupeiformes; Engraulidae
Exons: 3
Source: RefSeq, a predicted model, not a curated record